This 744-nucleotide long non-coding RNA is filed under the name Theobroma cacao (cacao). RNAcentral describes it as "long non-coding RNA (TCAC_LNC005521)". Lineage: Eukaryota; Viridiplantae; Streptophyta; Magnoliopsida; Malvales; Malvaceae. The record is from RNAcentral.
CGAUAACGGGAUAUUACAUCGCUAUUUGAUCAGAGGUGUCUCUGAUUAUUUUCACUGGCCGAUCACUUGAUGUUUACUCCGGCACGCCACCACAGCACUCUAACCUUAUCUUUGCACUUCCUAACAAUAAUACGAACUCAAUAUAUUUAAUUAUAUACGUAUACGUGCAGCACUUUAAUGAAUUAAUCCUUACUCAAAUUUAUAUUUUUCAUCCUAUCAUGAAACCAUCUUCAAUUAACUCACAUCUUAAUACACUUUUUACUAACAUUACUUAUAUCCAUUGCUUAUGAAAUUCCUUAAAUUAUAUCACCAGCAACUUAAUUAUGAUGUCACGGGUCUACUUCAACCUUUCUAAAUAAUUUUCACUUAAAUCUAUCUUAUAUUUCCACACAUAAUCCACAUAUAUGGCAGCAACAAUUAUUCUCACUUUAACUCGAUUAUUUCCUAGUUUACACGCAUCAUUAUCUAUCUAACUUUCAAUACUUUGUUUCUCAAUCCUCCAUCCACAAUAUUCCUUUUUCAUUUCUUUCAAACAACAUGCCAUACAAUCUUAAUAAUUUUCAACUAGCUUAGUCAAAUAGAUCCUUUCAACAAUCGUAAUUCCUCACAAUAUUCAACUAACCGUAGGCUUUAAAACAUAGUGUUAAGCUUACCGUUUUCCUUUUCCACUUUGAGUCCUUCAUGUACCCAUGGGUUUAUUGGCUUACAUGUUACCAAUUUUUCUCCAAUCAAGCCAAUCUUUCC